AUACGUACCUGGCAAGGGAGAUACCAUGAUCAGCGAAGGUGGUUUUCCCAGGGCGAGGCUUAUCCAUUGCACUCCGGAUGUGUUGACCCCUGCGAUUUCCCCAAAUGUAGGAAACUUGACUCCACAAUUUUUGGUAGUGGGUGACUGCGUUCGCGCUUUCCCCUG
Molecule: small nuclear RNA, 165 nt
Filed under: Felis catus (domestic cat)
Lineage: Eukaryota; Metazoa; Chordata; Mammalia; Carnivora; Felidae
Description: U1 spliceosomal RNA (ENSFCAG00000033931.2)
Rfam family: U1 spliceosomal RNA
About the family: U1 is a small nuclear RNA (snRNA) component of the spliceosome (involved in pre-mRNA splicing).
Source: Rfam by way of RNAcentral